RNAcentral lists this ribosomal RNA (122 nucleotides) under Fraxinus excelsior (European ash). Lineage: Eukaryota; Viridiplantae; Streptophyta; Magnoliopsida; Lamiales; Oleaceae. The record is from RNAcentral.
GGGUGCGACCAUACCAGCACUAACGCACCGGAUCCCAUCAGAACUCCGAAGUUAAGCGUGCUUGGGUGAGAGUAGUACUAGGAUGGGUGACCCCGUGGGAAGUCCUCGUGUUGCACCCCUUU